AUGUUUUGUGCUCUGGCCUUUUCAAUUGUUAAGUCAUCUUAAUAGAGAGGUUCUCCGUAUGGUUGCACAUUUUGCCCAAACACUGUUGAUUUUUCUUUUCCCAUUUUUACUACGUUCUUUGUCUGCUUGGCUUUUUGGAUUAGUUCAAGUAAUCCUCACUUGGCUUCUUGCAUCAUUCCUAUAACAACCCGUGACAUCACGCAAGUAAUUUACCUAUUAUAUUCUAUUAUGUAAAAUAUUCGCUCUUAUACUGUGUUCGCAAUCUGCUAGACGAUAUGGCAUAAUCACUAGCAGUCUCUUGACCUUCUGCCAUGGACACUUUAUCGUUUGAAUGAUGUACUUCAUAUCAGUAUGUCUUUCAAGCAACUUAUUUCAGAUGGAUUCUAGAGACUAAUUUCACAACUAAUCUGAAAUGACAAAAACAAAAGUUGGAAGCCUUAUCCUUUGCAAGGUUUGAAAUGUUAUAUGGUGAAGCUAUAUUGAAGAGGUAAGAACUAAAUGAUGCUAACUCAUUAGCUGAAGUCAUAACUGGAGAACUCUAAAGUGAGCUUGUCUUAUGUUGUACUUAUUGUUUUUAACGUGAGAUAAUGAUUUAUGUGUCUUUACUUCAUCGAGAUUAUGUUUUUUUUUUACUUCAAUGCAAUCAUAGAACUUAUAUUUGUUUUAGAUCAGCAAAACAAUGAAUCGAUGGAUCAUACUUUCAAAGGAGUUGUUGAGCACUUCAGCGAAGUAUUCUUUGAACUUGUGCAAGGUGGUCAUGGUCAUUUAGUUAUGAUGAAGAAAAAGGUUACUUAAAGGAGCAUUUAAUGUCUUUGUUUCAUUUGUUCUUUUCUUUACUCCUAUCGUUCAUUUUUCCCUUGCUAGUAAGCAAUGCCUUGAAGUUCUUCCAAUGUCUUUUUAUUGCUUUCCAAGUUUAAUCACUAUAUUUUUUGGUCUUUUAUGUUGAAAUUUUGAGAUAACCAUAUGAGUGCAUUUUAAAGUUUCAUGUCAUACAUUUGUGGUCAAUCUAGAUAGCCAUUGAAACAGUUGUAUAAAUUUUACGGUAUCUUAACAAGAUGUUUAUCACGAAGAUGAUAAUUGUGACGAUGAUGGACGUCAUGAAGCAAAUCUAGAGGGAAAUAUGUUACUGUGAAAAUAAAGGUAUGAAGCAAAUCUAGAGGGAAAUGUGUUUAUUUUUUUGCAGAAAGGAAGAGAGAGAAAUAAGAAAGGAUAUUAUAUAACAUGAUGCCUUAAUUGCUCUCUUACCAACUCAAUCACAACUUAUUGAUCAAUUUUUUUGGAUAUCAUCAACCAUUUGUAACCAGAAAGGAAAUGGACAUCAUUUAACAAGGAAAAAAAUAUAUAAGAAAUUUUAUUGUAAUGCAAAAUUUUCUUUGUUUAACUUCUAGGUUGCUAAACUCUGCUAGUUGCUUUUGACUAUAGUUGGUUGAUGGUUGUGAGAGAGGUUCAGUAACAGGCUCAUGCUUUUUUGGUAAAAUAAAAUAUGGUUUUAGUUAUACCAUUGCUUUAUGGAUUUUGGUUAUCCACUAUGGCUAAUAAUCUUUUAUUUUAUCUGCAGUUUAAGAGCAUUUUUGGAUUUUUUUUGUGUUGCUCAACUUUGUGGUUUCGUUUAAUCUAUUGUUUUUUUUUUCCUGGUGGUGUUCUACUUUCAGGAAUAUCAUGUAUCGGGUAUUCCAUUGGUAAUAUUGUUUUUGUUUGCUUGCCAUGUUCCAAGUUUGAGGGUUCACUUGGAUUGGGGUAAUGGCAGUUGGGUUUGUUCGAAGAAGAGGGUUUGCUAAUUAUAUAAGUGUUCUUUUCUCGACAAGGAAACAUUAUCAUUAAUAUCUUAUGUUUUGUAGGUUAACUUGUUAAAUUGCUGCAUUCAUUAGCGAAAAGAGGGAGGGGCAUGGCUAUUAUGUGCUUGAAAAACGUAUUUUACGGGAUUGGUAAGAGAGUGUUGUUUGGUCUAUACGGAUUUUCUUAUCCAAAACUUGGAUAGCGCAACCUCAUACACCCAGCCCAUUUCAGUUCGAAAGUUAAUUAUGUUGAUAAGUUUGUUUUUCAUUGUGAUUUAUUAUAUAUAUUUAAUCUUAUUCAUUUGUUUUUUUGUCUACUAUGUAAUAUAUUGAUAUCAAAAUUAUGUUAUGGGCUUACAGUUUGUUUCUUUAGUAGCCAUUCGUUUUGUAUUGAGUGAUCUCUUCCACAACCUAUGCAAUGAUGAUGGGCAUCAACUACUCGAUGAAGGUGCAGGGGAUCAAGUUUUAUUUGCUUUCAUUGAGAUUGUGUUGAUAAUUCCGACAAUCACAUCUCGUGUCUUUCUUUCAUAAACGGUUUUGGCAACUUGCAGUAUAAUGGAGUGUGAAAAGCAGGUGAGCAUCCUUUAUCAAAAAACAAGGUCGGGCAACCCAUUUUCCAGCAAAGCUAUUCGUGACAAAAGGCUGUAAAUGGAAAAUGAUGAUUUACGUCUUUUUUCUUCAAAUUGGCUCAAGCAAGAGUUUAGAUUAGUCUAUUCUGAUACUUUAACAUCAAUGUAGAUGCAUGCUGGUGUUGUGAAAAUCUUUCUAUAGGUGGCACUUUCUUAUCUCAUGCUCAUCAUUUAAUUAGGAAAGGACCAUGCCCUCUUAUCAGAUAAUUCCAUGAUCAAAACACAAUGUUAAGGGUUUUUCUUUUUUGUUUUCUUUUUUGAAUUGUUUGGGUAUCUUUAGUAAACUGGACUUAACAAGAGUUAUAUCUAAAGAAAUGAUUAGCCUUUCUAGCAUAUUAUUUGUUCAAGUUCAUAGGAACUCUGAAUUGUGAAUUUGCUUUAUCCUGUUUUUAUGUGGUAAAUGACUAACUAUGAAUUUGCUCUAGUCUGAGUUUUAAUUUUUUGUUCUUGGCUUUUUAUGUAUUAUUGUCUUGUAAUCAUUAUUUUAAAUCUAUUUAUCUUGCCUGAUUUGCCAGCCAAUAUCUAUGUUGAAAUCCUAGCAGAUGAUGUUUUGGUCUUGCCUCUACAUGUACUUGGUACUUACUGAGAUAGGUCAUGUUUGCAUGCUUCCACUUAAGCUUUCAUCUUUUGAGAAGUGACAUGCUUUCUUUUAUUGGAACAUAUAGGUAUAAGUAGAGUGUGAAAGAGUUGCAUAAAUGCUUCAUAGGUGCAAUGAGCAACUUCAGCCAUGUAAACAAGAAGGCACUAGACCAACAUGUAAAUAUCACUGAGAAACAGGAGAAACUCCAGAAAAGUCAAGUUGAACUAUGGUGCUGGAUUUUAUUGCUUAAAUAUCUUAUGUUGUACUUAUUGUUUUUAACGUGAGAUUAAGAUUUAUGUAUCUUUACUUCAAUGAGAUUAUGUUUUAUUACUUCAAUGCUUGUGUGCAGAAAAUCAUAGAACUGAUAUUUGUUUUAGAUCAGCGAGACAAUGAAUAUUGCACUGUCAAAGGAGUUGUUGAGCACUUUAGCGAAGUAUUCUUUGAACUCGUGCAAGGUGGUCGUGGUCAUUUGGCUAUGAUGAAGAAAAAGAUGUUGAUCACGAAUAUGAUAAUUGUGACGAUGAUGGAUGUCAUGAAGCAAAUUUGGAGGGAAAUAUGUUACUGUGAAAAUAAAGGUAUGAAUAUGUGGUCGCUAUGUUAUAUGUGGUCGCAGAAAAUAAAGGUAUAAAAGGUAUUGUUAUACCAUUACUUUAUGGAUUUUGGUUAUCCAUUAUGGCUAAUAAUUUUUUAUUUUAUCUGCAGUUUAAGAGCAUUUCUGGAUUUGUUUUUUGUUGCUCAGCUUUGUUGUUUGGUUUAAUCUAUUGUUUUUUUUUCUGGUGGUGUUCUAUUUUCAGGAAUAUCAUGUAUCAGGUAUCAUAUUGUUAAUAUUGUUUUGAUUUGCUUACCAUGUUCCAAGUUUAGUGGUUCACUUAGAUUGGGGGUAAUGGCAAUUGGGUUUCUUCAAAGAAGAGGGUUUCCUGAUUAUCUUAUGUGUUCUUUUCUCGACAAGGAAACAUUAUCAUUAAUAUCUUAUGUUUUGUAGGUUAACUUGUUGAAUUGCUGCAUUCAUUAGGGAAAAGAGGGAGGGGCUUGGCUAUUAUGUGCUUGAAAAGCGCAUUUUACGGGACUGGUAAGAGAGUGUGUUUGGUCUGUAAGGAUUUCCUUAUCCAAAACUUGGAUAGCGCAACCCCAUACACCUAGCCCAUUUCAGUUCGAAAGUUAAUUGUGUUUGUAAGUUAGUUUUUCAUUGUGAUUAUUUUUUUAUAUAUGUUAUCUUAUUUAUUUGUUGUGUGUCUACUAUAUAAUAUAUUGAGUGAUGAGUGUUUUAAAUUUAUGGACUGAAGGAUUAUUCCUUUUUUAUGUGUUAA
Populus nigra (black poplar) is the source of this 4291-nucleotide long non-coding RNA. RefSeq lists it as uncharacterized. The transcript has 4 exons. Lineage: Eukaryota; Viridiplantae; Streptophyta; Magnoliopsida; Malpighiales; Salicaceae. The record is from RefSeq and is a predicted model, not a curated record.